GGGGAAUUUUGCGCAAUGGGGGAAACCCUGACGCAGCAACGCCGCGUGGAGGAUGAAAUCCCUUGAGAUGUAAACUCCUUUCGAUAGGGAAGAUUAUGACGGUACCUAUAGAAGAAGCCCCGGCUAACUUCGUGCCAGCAGCCGCGGUAAUACGAGGGGGGCAAGCGUUGUUCGGAAUUAUUGGGCGUAAAGGGUGCGUAGGCGGUCCUACAAGUCUGAUGUGAAAUCUCUGGGCUCAACCCAGAGUCUGCAUCGGAAACUGUAGGGCUUGAGUAUGGGAGAGGUGAGUGGAAUUUCCGGUGUAGCGGUGAAAUGCGUAGAUAUCGGAAGGAACACCUGUGGCGAAAGCGGCUCACUGGACCAUUACUGACGCUGAGGCACGAAAGCUAGGGGAGCAAAC
This 400-nucleotide ribosomal RNA is filed under the name uncultured bacterium. Its description in RNAcentral is "bacterial SSU rRNA". It matches the Rfam family "Bacterial small subunit ribosomal RNA", at positions 356 to 773 of the family's 1533-position model. The record is from RNAcentral.